Molecule: ribosomal RNA, 506 nt
Filed under: uncultured bacterium
Lineage: Bacteria
Description: partial 16S ribosomal RNA
Rfam family: Bacterial small subunit ribosomal RNA
Source: RNAcentral
AUUGAACGCUGGCGACAGGCCUAACACAUACAAGUCGAACGGUAGCACAGAGGAGCUUGCUCCUUGGGUGACGAGUGGCGGACGGGUGAGUAAUGUCUGGGAAACUGCCCGAUGGAGGGGGAUAACUACUGGAAACGGUAGCUAAUACCGCAUAACGUUGCAAGACCAAAGAGGGGGACCUUCGGGCCUCUUGCCAUCGGAUGUGCCCAGAUGGGAUUAGCUAGUAGGUGGGGUAACGGCUCACCUAGGCGACGAUCCCUAGCUGGUCUGAGAGGAUGACCAGCCACACUGGAACUGAGACACGGUCCAGACUCCUACGGGAGGCAGCAGUGGGGAAUAUUGCACAAUGGGCGCAAGCCUGAUGCAGCCAUGCCGCGUGUAUGAAGAAGGCCUUCGGGUUGUAAAGUACUUUCAGCGGGGAGGAAGGGGUUAAGGUUAAUAACCUUAGCCAUUGACGUUACCCGCAGAAGAAGCACCGGCUAACUCCGUGCCAGCCGCCGCGGUAA